This 212-nucleotide long non-coding RNA is filed under the name Setaria viridis. Its description in RNAcentral is "long non-coding RNA (SVIR_LNC000450)". Lineage: Eukaryota; Viridiplantae; Streptophyta; Magnoliopsida; Poales; Poaceae. The record is from RNAcentral.
UCGGGCUGAGAGAGAGCGUAAGAAAAAGCGUGGUUAAUUAUUUUUUGUUCUAAGGGCGACUUGUACCUUGUCGGCCGUGAAACCCACUGUCCGUACCGAAUGAAUACAUCGGCCGAUUUGGACGAUUACAUGUUUUCUCUAGACGAAUCCUUUUGUAUCGGCUGUGUGCUGUUUAUCGUGGUCGAUCCUUUAUGCUCCGACCCAUAUACUAG